Molecule: long non-coding RNA, 1091 nt
Filed under: Sus scrofa (pig)
Lineage: Eukaryota; Metazoa; Chordata; Mammalia; Artiodactyla; Suidae
Description: lncRNA (ENSSSCG00070009661.1)
Source: RNAcentral
GGCAGAAACUGGUCCUGCAGACCUGAACCGCCGUCGUCUCCGUUCUGGCCCCUGGAGCGCGGAGCUGGUGGGAGGCGGUAUGAGCCACGUUCACGCACAGGGUUCUCCGUGGCUCUCCUUGUCCCUGGCCUUCCCACCCCUGGACCCCAAGAGCAGUGCUCAGACUUGGGCGUCGGUCUGGGGGCCUGGGGACUUGCUGAGUCCUGGACACCGGGUCCUGCCCUGCGGCUCCAGGUCACCACCACCUCCAGAGCGCACACCUGCUCUGGCCAAGACGGGACACGAACCCCUGCCUCCGUGGUGUUAACCUGCAGCACCCAGCCCUGCCCUCUGUCAGGGCUCCGGGAGCUCACGCCGCAUGGACCAAGCCUAACCUGCUCACGGGCUCACUUGCGGAGGAGAGGCGAGAAUCUCUCGCCUUGCCUGGGGCCAGCAGGGACCACAUGGCGAGGACACCGGAAGCCUGGGCUCACCGGGCAGCGCUGGCGGCGUCUCCCCAGGCCUUUCCCGCCGUCACCUCUGAUGCUCGGGUGCAGAGCUGCCCACGGGCUGCGCCUGGACGGGUGUUUGUCCCCCACCCACCCCCGGUCUCUGUGGCUCCUCUUUGCAUGUGGGGACGGCGGGGCCCCUGGUUUAAAACGUCCGUGUGACACUGCGGGUAACACCGCUGGAGACCCAAAGUCGUCAUUUCACAAGUGUCCUUGGUCUUCCUUCGGCUCGAGGUGGGUGAUUGGAAUUGUGGCGUCAGAAACGCAGAAACAAAGUGCACGCAAGCCUUUGGCGCUGUGCCCGGAGAGCACUUUCUACAGGAUUCUCCUCGCCCGUCGCUCCUCCGCGGACAGUGUGAAUAUUACAUACAGCCAAGAAUCAGAAUCCUGCAGCCUGGCCGAAGUCGAAUCAAGGUGUUCCUCCAGAAUUGCGUUUUGUCCAUUGUGAAAGAGGUUUUAUGCUGCUUGCUACUGGCAUUCUUGGCCGCCUCUGAAAGAUUGUAGAAAACCUGCGUCUCAGAGAAUGGUGAGGUUGAGCAGCUAAAUUCUCUUUGUGUGUGUGUGUCUGUCUUUUUAGGGCCACACCUAAAAAGGCAUAUGGGG